AGAACGAACGCUGGCGGCAUGCCUAACACAUGCAAGUCGAACGCUUCCGGGGCUUCGGUCGCGGAGGAGUGGCGCACGGGUGAGUAGCGCGUGGGAACCUGCCCUGUUGUGGGGGAUAACCGAGGGAAACUUCGGCUAAUACCGCAUACGCCCCGGGACUUGGUCUUCGGAUUAGGUCUGGGGGGAAAGAUUGAUCGCAGCAGGAGGGGCCCGCGUCGGAUUAGCUGGUUGGUGGGGUAACGGCUCACCAAGGCGAUGAUCCGUAGCUGGUCUGAGAGGAUGAUCAGCCACACUGGGACUGAGACACGGCCCAGACUCCUACGGGAGGCAGCAGUGGGGAAUAUUGGACAAUGGGGGCAACCCUGAUCCAGCAAUGCCGCGUGAGUGAUGAAGGCCUUAGGGUUGUAAAGCUCUUUCGCCCGCGACGAUGAUGACGGUAGCGGGAGAAGAAGCCCGGCUAACUUCGCGUCAGCAGCCGCGGU
This 482-nucleotide ribosomal RNA is filed under the name uncultured bacterium. RNAcentral describes it as "SSU rRNA". It matches the Rfam family "Bacterial small subunit ribosomal RNA", at positions 26 to 521 of the family's 1533-position model. The record is from RNAcentral.